RNAcentral lists this unclassified non-coding RNA (2754 nucleotides) under Drosophila pseudoobscura pseudoobscura. Its description in RNAcentral is "bruno-3". Lineage: Eukaryota; Metazoa; Arthropoda; Insecta; Diptera; Drosophilidae. The record is from RNAcentral.
UCGCUUCGUUUCGGUUCGGUUUGUCUUUUGGGGUUCUUCUCGCCUUCGAAAGCGCCGUCCUUCUUCAGUGUUUUCACAUUUUCACGUACAGUUCAAUCGUGAGGUUCAGCCUAGUGAGUUCUGUGUAGUUAAGUCGGAAUAUUUCGUAUAGUUCUCGUCGACUGUCGUCUGACAUUUGUUCUUCUAUUCCGAAACGCUGCAUUGAAAUACAAAAAUAAUACAAACUAGAAUAUUCAACAAAACAAAAAACCAAGGAAACGAAAAACCAAUUAAAAUUUUAACAAAAUAAUAACUCGCUUCAAAAUAUAUUGCAAAUAUAUCAACAAAUUUAAUCAAAUCAAAUUCACCAACAAAUCGAAAACAAACUCUAUUAAUUCGUUUACUCAAAAAUCCAAAAACACAAAACAACCAAAAACCGAUUCAAAUAUAUAACUGUUAAAUCUAAACGAGCAGGCGAUCUACUGGGAAGCGAGAGAGGAAGGGCAUCAGCAGCAGCACUACUACACGCGUGUGUGUUUAAAUACUGGAAAAUACAGAUAAGAUAAAUUAUUAUAGACACUCACGAGUACAUUUAGAGCAGACCAAACCCAGAGACAGACAACCGCAGAGAAUCAAAAGCACUCCAAGAGCAAAUCAAUAAAACAAAAACAAAACCCAAACAACAACAAAAAAAACAACAACAGAAACAACAGAAACAAAGAGAAAAAGCAACUCAAAAAACAAAAUUUUAAAAAAAGUGUUACCAAAAAAAACUUAAAAAAAAAAGAAAAUUAUUUAAAAGACAAAACCCGUACUCGUAACGGUGCAGACAACUGAAAAUACCCAGUGAAAAUUCAGAAAAGCGUUGACCAUUUUUUCUCGCAAAGGCGCCACGUCCAAGAGCAAAUCGUUCCAUAUGGUUCAUAUUAUUGAAUUGGUCGGCCAGCCGAAGGUUGAGUUUGCUCAACAAGUUACUGUAAGUUGCCAUCAUCCAUUAAUACCACCAGCCAUCAAAUUAAUGAACCGUGCUUUACAGCUGAAGCCAGCUGAAAAUGAAAGUCGCAGCGGCUGCGCAUUCGUCAAAUUCGGAACGCAACAGGAGGCUCAGUCAGCAAUAGCCAAUCUACACGGAAGUCAAACUAUGCCGGGUGCAUCCUCCAGCCUGGUCGUCAAAUACGCCGACACAGAGAAGGAACGACAAAUCAGGCGCAUGCAACAAAUGGCCGGUCAUAUGAACCUGCUGAAUCCGUUUGUCUUUAAUCAGUUCAGCCCGUACGGCGCCUACGCUCAGCAACAGCAGCAAGCCGCUCUGAUGGCUGCCGCUGCCACCGCGCCUGGCUCGGCAGCCGCCUACAUGAACCCCAUGGCCGCCCUGGCAACGCAAAUACCUCAUGGCUUGAACGGCACCGGACAGCCGCCCUCUUUGCCCUCGCCGACCAUGCCCAACUUCAGCAUGGGCGCCAACACGCCCAACGGCCAGCCCGGUGGAGCUGCCGCGGCUGCAGCAGCUGCUGCGGCGGACGGGGUCUUCACGAACGGCAUUCCACAAACGGCAUUCCCAGGACAUCCGCUGCAUUUGACUAUACCACCACAAGGUCUGCCAAACGGCGAUGCUGCUACUCUGCAACAUGCCUUCCCUGGGCUGCCACCGUUUCCAGGAGUUGCCUUCCCCGCCGUCUAUGGACAGUUUCCACAAGCUUUACCACCUCCCCUAGCGGCGGUUGCACCCACUCAGCGUGAAGGAUGCUCGAUAUCCGGUCCAGAGGGCUGCAAUCUCUUCAUCUACCAUUUGCCCCAAGAGUUUGGCGAUGCGGAGUUAAUGCAAAUGUUCCUGCCCUUUGGCAAUGUGAUCAGCUCCAAGGUCUUCAUCGAUCGUGCUACAAACCAGAGCAAAUGCUUCGGUUUCGUGUCCUUCGAUAAUCCAGCCAGCGCUCAAGCGGCCAUUCAGGCCAUGAAUGGCUUCCAGAUUGGCAUGAAAAGACUGAAAGUUCAAUUGAAGCGGCCAAAGGAUGCCAGUCGACCCUAUUAACAAUCGGAGUUCCUUAAGUGUAAUUCGCAACAACUACAACUACUUCCUGGAGCACCAACAACAGGAGUAGUCGCAGGAGCAGCCAUGCCACAAACUACAACACAAUUUGCAACAGCAGCAGCAGCAGCAGCAACAGCAUCCACAGCAACAGCAACAGCCACAGCAACAACCACAGUGCACCACUAUAGUCACAGAAGCAGCUUUAGGCCACCAUUUCCCAAUGACAACUCCACUCAUAUGCCGGUAUCAAUUCGCCAGCUGGCGCGAAAUGGUGACCUACUGCUAUCGCUAUAUAGUACCCCGCCAGAAACACUUCCUCCCCAGCCCCAAAAAGCAACCAACAACAGCAACAUCAGCAAGGACAACAACAACAGCACCAACCAACAACAACAGCACCAACAAACACCCACCAGCAGCACCACACCAAACAACAAUAGCAAGCACUGCAGGCAGCAGAAUGGACCGAUUCCCAUCCACAUCCAACUCAACCGGACAUGGCAUCCAAUAGCAACCAGAAGGAACUAUCCAAAGUGGAAUAAGUCGAAAAACUGUUCAAGUGGCAGCAACAAAAGCGAAAGACCUAAAGCCACCAGGACCCCACAAACAGCAACCAUGACAACUGCGACAACAAUAACGAGCGACUACUGAAAGGAUGGUCUUCACCAUGCUAAGUGAAAUGAUUAUAAAAAUUAAACACAUGCAAAAUCGGUGUGUAAAAAAACCUAAAAUAAUAGUAAACAACCAAA